RNAcentral lists this ribosomal RNA (459 nucleotides) under uncultured bacterium. RNAcentral's name for it is "partial 16S ribosomal RNA". It matches the Rfam family "Bacterial small subunit ribosomal RNA", at positions 338 to 794 of the family's 1533-position model. The record is from RNAcentral.
CCUACGAGAGGCAGCAGUGAGGAAUAUUGGUCAAUGGACGCAAGUCUGAACCAGCCAUGCCGCGUGCAGGAAGACGGCUCUAUGAGUUGUAAACUGCUUUUGUACGAGGGUAAACGCAGAUACGCGUAUCUGUCUGAAAGUAUCGUACGAAUAAGGAUCGGCUAACUCCGUGCCAGCAGCCGCGGUAAUACGGAGGAUUCAAGCGUUAUCCGGAUUUAUUGGGUUUAAAGGGUGCGUAGGCGGUCGGAUAAGUUAGAGGUGAAAUCCCGAGGCUCAACUUCGGAAUUGCCGCUGAUACUGUUCGGCUAGAGAGUAGUUGCGGGAGGCGGAAUGUAUGGUGUAGCGGUGAAAUGCUUAGAGAUCAUACAGAACACCGAUUGCGAAGGCAGCUUACCAAGCUACUUCUGACGUUGAGGCACGAAAGCGUGGGGAGCAAACAGGAUUAGAUACCCUUGUAGU